Molecule: ribosomal RNA, 490 nt
Filed under: uncultured organism
Description: bacterial SSU rRNA
Rfam family: Bacterial small subunit ribosomal RNA
Source: RNAcentral
AAUGAACGCUGGCGGCAUGCCUUACACAUGCAAGUCGAACGGCAGCAUGACCUAGCUUGCUAGGUUGAUGGCGAGUGGCGAACGGGUGAGUAAUGCAUCGGAACGUGCCUUUUAGUGGGGGAUAACGUAGCGAAAGUUACGCUAAUACCGCAUAUUCUCUGAGGAGGAAAGCAGGGGACCUUCGGGCCUUGCGCUAGAAGAGCGGCCGAUGUCGGAUUAGCUAGUUGGUGAGGUAAAGGCUCACCAAGGCAACGAUCCGUAGCGGGUCUGAGAGGAUGAUCCGCCACACUGGGACUGAGACACGGCCCAGACUCCUACGGGAGGCAGCAGUGGGGAAUUUUGGACAAUGGGCGCAAGCCUGAUCCAGCCAUGCCGCGUGAGUGAAGAAGGCCUUCGGGUUGUAAAGCUCUUUCGGCUGGGAAGAAAUCGCACUCUCUAAUACAGGGUGUGGAUGACGGUACCAGCAUAAGAAGCACCGGCUAACUACGUG